AGAGUUUGAUCCUGGCUCAGGACGAACGCUGGCGGCGUGCUUAACACAUGCAAGUCGAACGAUGAAGGGGGAGCUUGCUCCUCCGGAUUAGUGGCGAACGGGUGAGUAAUACGUGAGCAAUGUGCCCUUGACUCUGGGAUAAGCGCUGGAAACGGCGUCUAAUACCGGAUACGACCAUCGGAGGCAUCUCCUGGUGGUGGAAAGAACUUCGGUCAAGGAUCAGCUCACGGCCUAUCAGCUUGUUGGUGAGGUAGUGGCUCACCAAGGCGACGACGGGUAGCCGGCCUGAGAGGGUGACCGGCCACACUGGGACUGAGACACGGCCCAGACCCCUACGGGAGGCAGCAGUGGGGAAUAUUGCACAAUGGGCGCAAGCCUGAUGCAGCAACGCCGCGUGAGGGACGAAGGCCUUCGGGUUGUAAACCUCUUUUAGCAGGGAAGAAGCGAGAGUGACGGUACCUGCAGAAAAAGCACCGGCUAACUACGUGCCAGCAGCCGCGGUAAUACGUAGGGUGCAAGCGUUGUCCGGAAUUAUUGGGCGUAAAGAGCUCGUAGGCGGUUUGUCGCGUCUGCUGUGAAAACCCGAGGCUCAACCUCGGGCUUGCAGUGGGUACGGGCAGACUAGAGUGCGGUAGGGGAGAUUGGAAUUCCUGGUGUAGCGGUGGAAUGCGCAGAUAUCAGGAGGAACACCGAUGGCGAAGGCAGAUCUCUGGUCCGUAACUGACGCUGAGGAGCGAAAGCGUGGGGAGCAAACAGGAUUAGAUACCCUGGUAGUCCACGCCGUAAACGAUGAGUGCUAGGUGUUAGGGGUUUCGAUGCCCUUAGUGCCGAAGUUAACACAUUAAGCACUCCGCCUGGGGAGUACGACCGCAAGGUUGAAACUCAAAGGAAUUGACGGGGGCCCGCACAAGCAGUGGAGCAUGUGGUUUAAUUCGAAGCAACGCGAAGAACCUUACCAGGUCUUGACAUCCUUUGACCACUCUAGAGAUAGAGCUUUCCCCUUCGGGGGACAAAGUGACAGGUGGUGCAUGGUUGUCGUCAGCUCGUGUCGUGAGAUGUUGGGUUAAGUCCCGCAACGAGCGCAACCCUUGAUCUUAGUUGCCAGCAUUUAGUUGGGCACUCUAAGGUGACUGCCGGUGACAAACCGGAGGAAGGUGGGGAUGACGUCAAAUCAUCAUGCCCCUUAUGACCUGGGCUACACACGUGCUACAAUGGAUGGUACAAAGAGCAGCGAAACCGCGAGGUUAAGCCAAUCUCAUAAAGCCAUUCUCAGUUCGGAUUGUAGGCUGCAACUCGCCUACAUGAAGCCGGAAUUGCUAGUAAUCGCGGAUCAGCAUGCCGCGGUGAAUACGUUCCCGGGCCUUGUACACACCGCCCGUCACACCACGAGAGUUUGUAACACCCGAAGUCGGUGGAGUAACCCUUAUGGGAGCUAGCCGCCUAAGGUGGGACAGAUGAUUGGGGUGAAGUCGUAACAAGGUA
This 1482-nucleotide ribosomal RNA is filed under the name uncultured bacterium. RNAcentral describes it as "partial 16S rRNA". It matches the Rfam family "Bacterial small subunit ribosomal RNA". The record is from RNAcentral.